CUUCAGCGAGCCGAGCCAGAGCGGCUGCCCCUCCGGCCGGUUCUGGCCGUAGGUGGCGAGCAGGGCCUGCGCCUC
Non-coding RNA from Streptomyces albus, 75 nucleotides. It matches the Rfam family "ASpks TB sRNA". The record is from Rfam. Lineage: Bacteria; Bacillati; Actinomycetota; Actinomycetes; Kitasatosporales; Streptomycetaceae.